This 2904-nucleotide ribosomal RNA is filed under the name Escherichia coli. RNAcentral's name for it is "23S ribosomal RNA". It matches the Rfam family "Bacterial large subunit ribosomal RNA". The record is from RNAcentral. Lineage: Bacteria; Pseudomonadati; Pseudomonadota; Gammaproteobacteria; Enterobacterales; Enterobacteriaceae.
GGUUAAGCGACUAAGCGUACACGGUGGAUGCCCUGGCAGUCAGAGGCGAUGAAGGACGUGCUAAUCUGCGAUAAGCGUCGGUAAGGUGAUAUGAACCGUUAUAACCGGCGAUUUCCGAAUGGGGAAACCCAGUGUGUUUCGACACACUAUCAUUAACUGAAUCCAUAGGUUAAUGAGGCGAACCGGGGGAACUGAAACAUCUAAGUACCCCGAGGAAAAGAAAUCAACCGAGAUUCCCCCAGUAGCGGCGAGCGAACGGGGAGGAGCCCAGAGUCUGAAUCAGUGUGUGUGUUAGUGGAAGCGUCUGGAAAGGCGCGCGAUACAGGGUGACAGCCCCGUACACAAAAAUGCACAUACUGUGAGCUCGAUGAGUAGGGCGGGACACGUGGUAUCCUGUCUGAAUAUGGGGGGACCAUCCUCCAAGGCUAAAUACUCCUGACUGACCGAUAGUGAACCAGUACCGUGAGGGAAAGGCGAAAAGAACCCCGGCGAGGGGAGUGAAAAAGAACCUGAAACCGUGUACGUACAAGCAGUGGGAGCCUCUUUUAUGGGGUGACUGCGUACCUUUUGUAUAAUGGGUCAGCGACUUAUAUUCUGUAGCAAGGUUAACCGAAUAGGGGAGCCGAAGGGAAACCGAGUCUUAACUGGGCGUUAAGUUGCAGGGUAUAGACCCGAAACCCGGUGAUCUAGCCAUGGGCAGGUUGAAGGUUGGGUAACACUAACUGGAGGACCGAACCGACUAAUGUUGAAAAAUUAGCGGAUGACUUGUGGCUGGGGGUGAAAGGCCAAUCAAACCGGGAGAUAGCUGGUUCUCCCCGAAAGCUAUUUAGGUAGCGCCUCGUGAAUUCAUCUCCGGGGGUAGAGCACUGUUUCGGCAAGGGGGUCAUCCCGACUUACCAACCCGAUGCAAACUGCGAAUACCGGAGAAUGUUAUCACGGGAGACACACGGCGGGUGCUAACGUCCGUCGUGAAGAGGGAAACAACCCAGACCGCCAGCUAAGGUCCCAAAGUCAUGGUUAAGUGGGAAACGAUGUGGGAAGGCCCAGACAGCCAGGAUGUUGGCUUAGAAGCAGCCAUCAUUUAAAGAAAGCGUAAUAGCUCACUGGUCGAGUCGGCCUGCGCGGAAGAUGUAACGGGGCUAAACCAUGCACCGAAGCUGCGGCAGCGACGCUUAUGCGUUGUUGGGUAGGGGAGCGUUCUGUAAGCCUGUGAAGGUGUGCUGUGAGGCAUGCUGGAGGUAUCAGAAGUGCGAAUGCUGACAUAAGUAACGAUAAAGCGGGUGAAAAGCCCGCUCGCCGGAAGACCAAGGGUUCCUGUCCAACGUUAAUCGGGGCAGGGUGAGUCGACCCCUAAGGCGAGGCCGAAAGGCGUAGUCGAUGGGAAACAGGUUAAUAUUCCUGUACUUGGUGUUACUGCGAAGGGGGGACGGAGAAGGCUAUGUUGGCCGGGCGACGGUUGUCCCGGUUUAAGCGUGUAGGCUGGUUUUCCAGGCAAAUCCGGAAAAUCAAGGCUGAGGCGUGAUGACGAGGCACUACGGUGCUGAAGCAACAAAUGCCCUGCUUCCAGGAAAAGCCUCUAAGCAUCAGGUAACAUCAAAUCGUACCCCAAACCGACACAGGUGGUCAGGUAGAGAAUACCAAGGCGCUUGAGAGAACUCGGGUGAAGGAACUAGGCAAAAUGGUGCCGUAACUUCGGGAGAAGGCACGCUGAUAUGUAGGUGAAGUCCCUUGCGGAUGGAGCUGAAAUCAGUCGAAGAUACCAGCUGGCUGCAACUGUUUAUUAAAAACACAGCACUGUGCAAACACGAAAGUGGACGUAUACGGUGUGACGCCUGCCCGGUGCCGGAAGGUUAAUUGAUGGGGUCAGCGCAAGCGAAGCUCUUGAUCGAAGCCCCGGUAAACGGCGGCCGUAACUAUAACGGUCCUAAGGUAGCGAAAUUCCUUGUCGGGUAAGUUCCGACCUGCACGAAUGGCGUAAUGAUGGCCAGGCUGUCUCCACCCGAGACUCAGUGAAAUUGAACUCGCUGUGAAGAUGCAGUGUACCCGCGGCAAGACGGAAAGACCCCGUGAACCUUUACUAUAGCUUGACACUGAACAUUGAGCCUUGAUGUGUAGGAUAGGUGGGAGGCUUUGAAGUGUGGACGCCAGUCUGCAUGGAGCCGACCUUGAAAUACCACCCUUUAAUGUUUGAUGUUCUAACGUUGGCCCCUAAUCGGGGUUGCGGACAGUGUCUGGUGGGUAGUUUGACUGGGGCGGUCUCCUCCUAAAGAGUAACGGAGGAGCACGAAGGUUGGCUAAUCCUGGUCGGACAUCAGGAGGUUAGUGCAAUGGCAUAAGCCAGCUUGACUGCGAGCGUGACGGCGCGAGCAGGUGCGAAAGCAGGUCAUAGUGAUCCGGUGGUUCUGAAUGGAAGGGCCAUCGCUCAACGGAUAAAAGGUACUCCGGGGAUAACAGGCUGAUACCGCCCAAGAGUUCAUAUCGACGGCGGUGUUUGGCACCUCGAUGUCGGCUCAUCACAUCCUGGGGCUGAAGUAGGUCCCAAGGGUAUGGCUGUUCGCCAUUUAAAGUGGUACGCGAGCUGGGUUUAGAACGUCGUGAGACAGUUCGGUCCCUAUCUGCCGUGGGCGCUGGAGAACUGAGGGGGGCUGCUCCUAGUACGAGAGGACCGGAGUGGACGCAUCACUGGUGUUCGGGUUGUCAUGCCAAUGGCACUGCCCGGUAGCUAAAUGCGGAAGAGAUAAGUGCUGAAAGCAUCUAAGCACGAAACUUGCCCCGAGAUGAGUUCUCCCUGACUCCUUGAGAGUCCUGAAGGAACGUUGAAGACGACGACGUUGAUAGGCCGGGUGUGUAAGCGCAGCGAUGCGUUGAGCUAACCGGUACUAAUGAACCGUGAGGCUUAACCUU